AAACUACCUGGCAGGGGAAAUAUGAUUAAAGGGUGGUUUUCCUAUGGCUUGACCUAUUUAUUGCACUCCAAAUGUUCAGACAUUUCAAACUGCAUCUGCAGUUUCUCCAUAUACGGGAAAUUUGUAUAAUUUGUAGUAAUGGGGAACUGUACAGCUGCUAAGCCACUCUCUA
Molecule: small nuclear RNA, 172 nt
Filed under: Meriones unguiculatus (Mongolian gerbil)
Lineage: Eukaryota; Metazoa; Chordata; Mammalia; Rodentia; Muridae
Description: U1 spliceosomal RNA (ENSMUGG00000020453.1)
Source: RNAcentral